GAUGAUUUGGCAGAUUAGUGCACUAAAUUUAGAAUUUGGUUAAGUAUAUUUUUACUAUACAUUCAUUA
RNAcentral lists this transfer RNA (68 nucleotides) under Nesophrosyne sp. 246 GMB-2012. RNAcentral's name for it is "tRNA-Leu". The record is from RNAcentral. Lineage: Eukaryota; Metazoa; Arthropoda; Insecta; Hemiptera; Cicadellidae.